CAGUCGCCGCGGUAAUACGUAGGUGGCAAGCGUUGUCCGGAAUUAUUGGGCGUAAAGGGCUCGCAGGCGGUUUCUUAAGUCUGAUGUGAAAGCCCCCGGCUCAACCGGGGAGGGUCAUUGGAAACUGGGAAACUUGAAUGCAGAAGAGGAGAGUGGAGUUCCACGUGUAGCGGUGAAAUGCGUAGAGAUGUGGAGGAACACCAGUGGCGAAGGCGACUCUCUGGUCUGUAACUGACGCUGAGGAGCGAAAGCGUGGGGAGCGAACAGGAUUAGAUACCCGUGUAGUCCCUGUCUCUUAUAC
RNAcentral lists this ribosomal RNA (301 nucleotides) under uncultured bacterium. Its description in RNAcentral is "partial 16S ribosomal RNA". It matches the Rfam family "Bacterial small subunit ribosomal RNA", at positions 509 to 807 of the family's 1533-position model. The record is from RNAcentral.